AGCAGCCGCGGUAAUUCCAGCUCCAAUAGCGUAUACUAAAGUUGCUGCAGUUAAAAAGCUCGUAGUUGAAUUUCGGGACCGAUAUAUCGGUCGUGCCUCGGUACGUACUGGUAUUUUCGGUUUCUCCCUUCUGAUGAACCUUGAUGUCAUUAAUUUGGUGUCUUGGGGAAUCAGGACUGUUACUUUGAAAAAUUAGAGUGUUUAAAGCAGGCUCACGCUUGAAUACAUUAGCAUGGAAUAAUGAAAUAGGACGUUUGAUUCUAUUUUGUUGGUUUCUAGGAUCGACGUAAUGAUUAAUAGGGAUAGUUGGGGGCAUUAGUAUUCAAUUGUCAGAGGUGAAAUUCUUGGAUUUAUUGAAGACUAACUACUGCGAAAGCAUUUGCCAAGGAUGUUUUCAUUAAUCAAGAACGAAAGUUAGGGGAUCGAAGACGAUCAGAUACCGUCGUAGCCUUAACCAUAAACUAUGCCGACUAGGGAUCGGAUGAUGUUAAUUUUUUCAAUGACUCAUUCGGCGCCUUAC
This 520-nucleotide ribosomal RNA is filed under the name uncultured Glomus. Its description in RNAcentral is "SSU rRNA". It matches the Rfam family "Eukaryotic small subunit ribosomal RNA", at positions 569 to 1091 of the family's 1831-position model. The record is from RNAcentral. Lineage: Eukaryota; Fungi; Glomeromycota; Glomeromycetes; Glomerales; Glomeraceae.